This 2939-nucleotide long non-coding RNA is filed under the name Hordeum vulgare. RNAcentral's name for it is "long non-coding RNA (HVUL_LNC015675)". The record is from RNAcentral. Lineage: Eukaryota; Viridiplantae; Streptophyta; Magnoliopsida; Poales; Poaceae.
GCGAAUUCUCCUGCUGCCGUGCCCAGAGAGUUUCGCACCGUCGAGCCGGAUCUCUUGUCGAUGACCACUCGAUAUUAGGCCCAAAAUGGAACCCAUGUGGAGUGUGGAUGCUUACCCAGCCCUGCAAUCGCCUGAUUGACCCCCUUAAUCACCGGAAUUGGUCGCCGGAGUAAACUCCCGCGGCUCCCCCCUCGGCCGCCUAUAAAUUAGAGCCCCCUCCUUUUCCCCGAUCAACCCAGCCACUCCCGCUCCUCUCCUCCUUCUCUAGGAGACUCGCCCAAGCCAUCGGAGGGGCUCGGAAGGGUCUUAUUCCCUGCCUCCGGCCACCUCGAUUCGUUUCGGGCGCCGGUAAAAUUGGACCUGGUGGAUGCGUCCCCGCAUCACAGUUCUUGCCACCGGACUACUAGAGCUCGACCCCUUCUGACCCGCGUGCGAUUUCGGUGAAUGCAGGCCUCUCCGACGGGAUCCCACUGCAACCGAAAAUGCCGCCCGUCGGAGUUGAAGCUAUUGUGGUCAUGCUGCCCGCGGGGUAUGGCUCCACCUCCAUCAGCUUUGGAAGCUCUUGGUGAGUGCACCCGCGUGUUCUUUUUCCUCUCGCUCGUCGCAGGACGCUGCCGGCGACACUCCGAGCUUCUGCUGCCGGUGAAGAAGAUUCGAACCUGACAGUGGAGGCUCACUAUCAGGAUUCUAUUCUUUUCAAAUCGUUUUUCUAAAAUGCCUUCCGCUAGAAGACGCGUUCUCUCCGGGUUUGCGUACUUUUAUCUGAGCGCUUUCUUUCUUUUCAGUCUGCCCCCUCGAUAGAUUCUGUUUUAUCACAGAAUAGUCCCUGGUUUCAUUUUACUUAUAACUUUUACACUAUAAAAGCUUUUUAAAUGAUUCUUUUUGCAACAUAUUUCUCUGAAGGUCUAGUUUAUUUUCAGAUUUAUUUAAAAAUUGUUUUGGAACAUUAGCUAGUCCUAGCUCUUACAAUGGUAUAUAUUGUAUGACGUAGAUUCCGACGAGGGAAACGCCGACAUUAACUUCACCCAGCUCGAUCCCGACUACAUGGAACCAGGCAAGCAUGUUUGAACUUUUGAUGUGUUGCUUGCUCACUAACUAAUUUAAUAUUCAUCCACAACAUUAAGUAAGCAUAUUGCAUUUUAAUCAAACAAAGUUAAUAUGUGGCUAUGACAAUUUAAGGUUGUGAGAGGCCCUGCAUAACCUAGUCACGUAAAACGUGAUAGGUUGUGGCCUUGUCAUGAAGAAUGCAUGACAGUAAUGGAAAUAAAGUGGAUAACUCCAGUAUUGACCUAGAUCAAGUCUUGUCAGUGUCUUACCUUUAUUAUCGUGCUGCUACAGUUUCCUCGAAAGGGGAUUCGAUAUAGUCGGUCGUAGGCCUAUUAUCAGUUACACACCAAGUAGAUGGGGCGGGAUGAAGGUAUCCAUGGCCCUGGACUAAAUCUAGUCAUCCGGUCAGAGGGUAUGGGUGUUUCCGUUCUGGGACCAAGAGGGAGGGCAUUCCCUUGUAGCUCGCGGUAUAAACUUGAUCCCAUGCUAGUCGAGGUCGGAGCCUCCCUGUCUUAUGGUUUUUCCCUGGCAGCGUAGUCCGGGUUAAGCCGGACUUCGCGAGGGUAAAAAUAGGUGUGUGCUGAUUCUGAGCGUCUACUUCUAAAAUAUCAUACACGGUAUUAGUCAAUGUGACUAUCGAACCCCGUGAGUUAUGGGUAAAGAGUACACCUCUGCAGAGUCAAAACUAUUCAAGUAGUCGUGUCCACGGUCAAGGACGGUUGGUUGACAUGUCAAGUGUCGGUCUUAGAGUCGGUCCCUCGAGCACAAGUGUGGUUUAAUGAUAAUGGUUGUGGACAUGUUAUGGUGUUGUGGGAAAACUUACUUGUUGGUAACCUGGUUCUAAGAUUAUUCCGAAGGUUGGUUGAACCACCCUGAUAAUCCUUUAAUUUAUUUUAUGCCCUUUCUCUGGAGUCGCUAAGACGCCCGACUGCGGCUUGUUAUUUAUUGUAUUCCCUUUCUUUGGUGUCGCUAAAAUGCCCGACUACGGCUUGUUAUUUAUUUUGUGCCUUUUCUGUGGUGUCCCUAAGACGCCCGACUGCGGCCUGUUAUUUAUUUUAUGCCUUUUAUGUGGUGUCGCUAAGAUGCUCGACUACGUCUUGUUAUUUAUUUUACGCCCUUUUGUGGUGUUUCUGAGACGCCCAACUGUGGCUUAUUAUUUAUUUGAUGCCAUGUAUGAGGUGUCGCUUAGACACCCGAUGGUGGCGAUUUACUUACCUGUUAACCUUUUGAGGCGUCGCUCCACACACCCGAUUGGUGCAUUUUAUUUUCUGUUUGGGUAUUUCGGCAGGAUUACCGCACAACUUAUCCACUAACUUAACUGCUGUUAAUGUCACUAUCAUGAUAAGUUAUGACCUGAAACCAUGCAUAUUAAAAUUUUGUUGCAUACAUCUCAUAUUUUGUGCAAAAUGUUUGCCAGUACUUAUCGAAGUACACACUCGCUUGUCGAUGUGGCCAGAUAUGGAUGAAGGAGACCUCAUGGAUGAAGAGUUAGAUAGCGAGUCCGAAGUCUAGAGGAGUCCCAGUCAGUCUUGCGAUCAUGGAGUCCGUCGCUGUAUUAUUUCACCGCUUCCGCCACCACGAAUAAAUCGUCAAACUCUCUCUAACGCUUGGCGUGUAGUAGUACUUGUCAUGUCACUUCAAUCUGAUGUGACAUGCCCUCUUUAUUAGGAGAGUAGAGUUAUCCUAUGAUCACAGUAAUAUAUCCGUCCGUGUGAGACUUUGGACAUGUUGUAAUAAUUUGUAGAGCGACCUCUGCUCUACUAUGUUUAAUAUUAAGUACUACUGGUUUUCUGUAUCAAGAGGAGUCUAUCAGUGGGAAAUAUUUUUCUACACUGGUGACAUUCAUGGAUGAUUUCCAACAAAUCAUUUUAUCUGGAAACCUGUCUUGACAG